Non-coding RNA from Equus caballus (horse), 549 nucleotides. The record is from RefSeq and is a predicted model, not a curated record. Lineage: Eukaryota; Metazoa; Chordata; Mammalia; Perissodactyla; Equidae.
CAAACUUAACCACUACACCACCAGGUUGGCCCCCAGAAAUAGAAUGACCAUGAGAGGAAAAUAAAGAUACGAAGAGACUGUUGGGAGCAUAUCAUGACCAAAUAGCGCAGAAGAACAAACAUUGGCGAGGUACAGUGAAGGUAGCAUCGGAAUGGCAACCAUCUCCCAGAAAGCUGCCCCACGAAUUGCAAGAAAUAAUAAUGGAGCUGGAAAAAAUCCAGGAAAAUUUGAAACUUGCAUAUGGCCAUUCAAAUGUAACAGUGCCCCCAGAGAAGAUAAUACACUGGAGAUCUGAAUGUAGAAGCAGAACAAGAGAGUAUAAACAAGCUUGGAAAAUGUCAUCCUUUCUCAUGGCUUUAGGAUAAUUAAAAUAAUUUUUCUUUUAUUUUGCAGGGAAAGAUUCACCCUGAGCUAACAUCUGUUGCCGAUCUUCUUUUUUUUUCCUCCUCAAAGCCCCAGUACACAGUACAUAUCCUUACAACGUAUCCUACUUGUAAGUUGUUCUAGUUCUUCUAUGUGACCCACUGCCACAACAUGGCAACUGGCAGA